Non-coding RNA from Gnomoniopsis smithogilvyi, 146 nucleotides. Lineage: Eukaryota; Fungi; Ascomycota; Sordariomycetes; Diaporthales; Gnomoniaceae. The record is from the annotation of a GenBank genome assembly.
GCCCGGCUAGCUCAAUCGGUAGAGCGUGAGACUCUUAGAAAUCUCACGAUAUCUGAAAUCUCAAGGUUGUGGGGUAUGUUUAGACGUCAUCGUCGUGGUCAAUUGCUUCGCUAACUCCCUAUUCAGUUCGACCCCCACGUCGGGCU